CUAACUGAGGACCACAGUCAGAGCAAGAGGAACAAAGAUGUGGUAACAGAGGGAAGAUCUCCAGCAGGCCCCAGUCUGUAGGAACCAAGAGUGUGGGGGUAGCACGGGGAUUACAAAACCAGGAAGGAAGAGUUAUUUGGAGGCACACCUGACUUGCCAAAGGAUGAAGACCAUAAGAAAACAUGUCAGGAGGAGACCACAGAAGCUAAGACACACUCUAAGUCACAAGAUGGAAUGACUCAUGCCUGUUUUGUACUCUUCUAAAUCCUGAGAUGCAGAAUAACUAUAUCAAAGUCAGCUGGAAUAUUCUAGAAUUCCAGGGACUCAGCCUGCCCAGUUCCUGGGAUCUUGUCUCCAGUUCAGCAAAGGUUGUUGCAGUGGAGAAAGAAACAACAGGAAGGAUCCAUGUCAGUUGUCCCAGGCUGCAGCCUGGGCAUGUCAAAUCUAUCAGGCAAAGACUGCAACAGUCACGUGGCUGAGUCGGGAUUUGGGCCUGAGUCUAUAAAGCCUACACUGUUUUGCACUAUGCAAGUAUUUGAGUUCCUCCUGAGGACAGAGCUGUCUCUGUUCCUCUGUGCCGUGGGCAGAUGGCGGGGAGUGUGUGUUCCUGCAGAAGAGCGUGCUGUCCCUGCUCCCCAGCCUCCCGCGGGCCCCUUCCUGGAAGACAUCCAGAAGGACCGGCAGCACUGCAUCAGCUUCCCAGACCACAGGAGCACUCACCACCUUCGAAAGCACGAGGCUGAGAGGAAUGACAUGGAGGGCCCCAUGGAGGUUUCCAGAGCACCAGGGACCAAGGCCCUGAGGACCGCAUUGGCUGUCAUUCAGACAUCGCAUCUGGCAGAGUGUCCUUGGCUGAAAGCGAUUGGAAACCAUUGCAGCCAUCUUUAA
RNAcentral lists this long non-coding RNA (888 nucleotides) under Ictidomys tridecemlineatus (thirteen-lined ground squirrel). RNAcentral's name for it is "lncRNA (ENSSTOG00000029575.1)". The record is from RNAcentral. Lineage: Eukaryota; Metazoa; Chordata; Mammalia; Rodentia; Sciuridae.